Molecule: unclassified non-coding RNA, 751 nt
Filed under: Hevea brasiliensis (rubber tree)
Lineage: Eukaryota; Viridiplantae; Streptophyta; Magnoliopsida; Malpighiales; Euphorbiaceae
Source: RNAcentral
AAAAAAAAAAAAAAAAGAAUUGGGUAUUGUUUUUGAUGAUCAAGAAAGUAGAAGAAAAGAGAAAAUUAUGCCUUUUGAAUGCUUAGAAGCGCCAGAUAGCUAAAUUGGGCUAAGUUAUAUGAGAAUUAUAGACUUAUUGGGAGAAAGUAGAAAAAGAAGGGGAAAGGCUGAACAGCUGAAGAAUUUGUCUUUAAAAUUCCGGUGUUUACACUAUCUUCUCCCUAAGGAAAUUGAGCAAGUACAUUCUUAAGUAAUAAAACUAUUUCUUUUGUAUCGAAUGCAAUUUUAGAAAUUGGGCUCAUGUGCUUCAAUAUUUGAGACAAGCGGUCUUCGACUGGAGUUAUAAAAUUGAAAACUUUUAUGCUACAUUUGUUGCAAGCAUGUUGCUGCAGUUUUUAGGGGAACCUUUUCAAUCAGUAUAACAUGUACAAGGUUCUGUUCAACAUGGGUUGUCUUUAUAGUCUUUCUUGUUUCUUUCUUGUUUCAUCGAAGUUUAUAAUUUUAAUUUGUUCUUAUAUAGCCUAUUAAGUGGCUUUUGUGAUUAUCAGAUUUGACAUUGAAGGAUAUGUGACUGGAUUUGGUCAUCCAGAUUGGGUGAGGACACAUAAGCAGCAUUUUGAGCUAUUGCAUAUUUAUAAUGAGCUUUAAAGAGUAAAAUCUUGAUUUCAAGGUUACAAUUCAGCAUUUUGAAUAAUUGGAAGUUGGAGUAAACUACUAAGAUUGGCGAAGGAUAUAAAUUUGUGACACUGAG